CCUACGGGUUGCACCAGUGGGGAAUAUUGCACAAUGGGCGCAAGCCUGAUGCAGCCAUGCCGCGUGUAUGAAGAAGGCCUUCGGGUUGUAAAGUACUUUCAGCGGGGAGGAAGGUGUUGAGGUUAAUAACCUCAGCAAUUGACGUUACCCGCAGAAGAAGCACCGGCUAACUCCGUGCCAGCAGCCGCGGUAAUACGGAGGGUGCAAGCGUUAAUCGGAAUUACUGGGCGUAAAGCGCACGCAGGCGGUCUGUCAAGUCGGAUGUGAAAUCCCCGGGCUCAACCUGGGAACUGCAUUCGAAACUGGCAGGCUGGAGUCUUGUAGAGGGGGGUAGAAUUCCAGGUGUAGCGGUGAAAUGCGUAGAGAUCUGGAGGAAUACCGGUGGCGAAGGCGGCCCCCUGGACAAAGACUGACGCUCAGGUGCGAAAGCGUGGGGAGCAAACAGGAUUAGAUACCCGAGUAGUC
This 465-nucleotide ribosomal RNA is filed under the name uncultured bacterium. RNAcentral's name for it is "bacterial SSU rRNA". It matches the Rfam family "Bacterial small subunit ribosomal RNA", at positions 338 to 795 of the family's 1533-position model. The record is from RNAcentral.